Molecule: unclassified non-coding RNA, 4829 nt
Filed under: Hevea brasiliensis (rubber tree)
Lineage: Eukaryota; Viridiplantae; Streptophyta; Magnoliopsida; Malpighiales; Euphorbiaceae
Source: RNAcentral
AUCGGCACAAAUCCCCAAAUUUCCGGCAGGUGGCAAUCUCUCCUUCCACCGCCACUGCCGGAAUCCACCAUUUUACUAAAACACCCUUCGACAAACUUACGAAAACACCCCUGAUGCAAAAUCCAAUAUUUAAAUCACUUCCACAGUCAGUUUCGCACUCAUUGUUUUCUCCAUCUCUUACCAUCAUUGUGCCCAAAAGGAGAACAGCUAGGGCAAUAAUGCCUUGUACUUCGCUAGUUGAAUCCAGCGACGGCAACGGAGCUGUGCGUAGUUUCAAACUGAAAGAGUCAACUUUCCUUGCUGCUCAAAUGCCGAAGAAAGAGAUUGCUGCUGAUCGGUUCAUCGAAGCUCAUCCCGAGUACGAUGGUCGCGGUGUCAUCAUUGCUAUUUUCGAUUCUGGAGUUGAUCCCGCUGCGGCUGGAUUACGAGUUACCUCUGAUGGAAAGCCGAAGGUCAUUGAUGUUAUAGAUUGUACUGGGAGCGGAGAUGUUGAUACUUCUACAGUGGUAAAGGCUGAUGACAAUUGUUGUAUUACUGGAGCUUCUGGGGCUUCUCUUGUCAUAAAUUCUUCGUGGAAGAAUCCAUCUGGUGAGUGGCAUGUUGGCUGCAAAUUGGUGUAUGAGCUCUUUACUGAUACACUGACCUCUCGAGUAAAGAAAGAACGAAAGAGAAGGUGGGAUGAGAAAAAUCAAGAAGCAAUAGCAGAGGCUGUAAAGCAGCUUGAUCAAUUUGAUAAGAAGCACACAAAAGUCGAAGGUGCGCACUUGAAAAUGGUCCGUGAAGACCUCCAGAAUAGAGUUGAUCUUCUGCGCAAGCAAGCUGAUAGCUACGAUGACAAGGGACCAGUUAUUGAUGCUGUCGUAUGGCAUGAUGGGGAGCUUUGGAGAGCUGCUUUGGACACACAGAGUCUUGAGGAUGAAUCAGGAUGUGGAAAGCUUGCAGAUUUUGUUCCUUUAACUAAUUACAGGCUUGAACAAAAGCAUGGAGUUUUUAGUAAAUUGGAUGCCUGUACAUGUGUGCUAAAUGUCUACAAUGAAGGGAAUAUUUUAAGUAUCGUGACAGAUAGUUCCCCACAUGCCACACACGUUGCUGGUAUUGCCGCUGCCUUCCACCCGGAGGAACCUUUACUAAAUGGAGUUGCACCUGGAGCACAAAUUGUGUCUUGUAAAAUUGGGGAUUCACGGUUGGGUUCUAUGGAAACAGGAACUGGUUUGACUAGGGCCUUGAUUGCAGCUGUAGAGCAUAAAUGUGAUCUCAUCAAUAUGAGUUACGGAGAACCUACACUGCUGCCAGACUAUGGUCGCUUUGUUGACCUUGUCAAUGAGGUGGUCAACAAACACCGCCUAAUAUUUGUCAGUAGUGCUGGCAAUAAUGGGCCAGCUUUGACUACUGUGGGUGCACCUGGUGGCACCAGUUCAAGCAUAAUUGGAGUAGGUGCAUAUGUUUCUCCAGCUAUGGCUGCUGGUGCUCACUUAUUAGUUGAGCCACCUACUGAAGGCCUUGAAUACACCUGGUCUAGUCGGGGACCCACUGUGGAUGGUGAUCUUGGUGUCUCCAUAAGUGCCCCUGGUGGUGCGGUGGCCCCUGUGCCCACAUGGACCCUUCAAAGACGCAUGUUAAUGAACGGAACAUCAAUGUCAUCUCCUUCUGCUUGUGGAGGUGUGGCUUUAAUCGUCAGUGCUAUGAAGGCGGAAGGUAUUCCUGUUAGUCCAUACACUGUACGGAAGGCUCUUGAAAAUACAUCUAUACCCAUAGGUGCUUUACCAGAAGAAAAAUUAACCGCUGGACAGGGACUCAUGCAAGUUGACAAGGCUUAUGAUUACAUGCAAAAGGUGCAAAAUCUUCCCUGUGUGUGGUAUCAAGUAAAAAUUAAGCAGGCUGGCAUCACAAGCAAACCAACUUCGUCUGCUACGUCUCGAGGCAUCUACCUUAGGGAGCCUUUAUAUUGUCACCAAUCUACAGAGUGGACUGUGGAAAUAGCACCGAAGUUCCAUGAAGAUGCAAAUAACUUGGACCAAUUGGUUCCUUUUGAAGAGUGCAUUGAGUUGCAUUCUACUGGAGAGGCAGUGGUGAGAGCUCCUGACUACCUCCUCCUCACCCAUAAUGGGCGCAGCUUCAGCAUAGUUGUGGACCCCACCAAUUUAAGUGAUGGCUUGCAUUAUUAUGAAGUAUAUGGCGUAGACAGCAAGGCACCAUGGCGAGGACCACUUUUCAGAAUUCCAGUGACUAUAACAAAGCCCUCUAUUGUAACAAGUAGACCCCCUCUAAUUUCCUUCCAAGGAAUUUCAUUUGUACCAGGCCAAAUUGAAAGGAGAUUUAUUGAGGUACCAUUUGGUGCUACCUGGGUGGAGGCCACCAUGAGGACAUAUGGGUUUGAUACGGCUAGAAGAUUCUUCAUAGAUACUGUUCAGCUCUCCCCAUUGCAAAGGCCCAUUAAGUGGGAAAGCGUGGCCACAUUUUCAUCACCUUCAUCCAAAAACUUUGUGUUUCGAGUGGAGGGUGGUCAGACAAUGGAACUAGCAAUAGCCCAAUUUUGGUCCAGCGGCAUAGGCAGUCAUGAAACAACUAUUGUUGAUUUUGAGAUUGCAUUCCGUGGUAUAAAGAUCAGCAAAGAGGAAGUAGUUCUUGAUGGAAGCGAAGCACCUGUGAGGAUUGAUGCUGAAGCUCUUCUGUCAACUGAAAAACUUGUCCCUUCUGCUGUGCUCAACAAGAUAAGAGUUCCGUAUCGUCCAAUUGAUUGCAAACUGCAUGCACUUUCAGCAGAUCGGGACAAAUUACCCUCAGGAAAACAGAUUCUGGCUCUUACAUUAACUUACAAAUUCAAACUGGAGGAUGAUGCUGAACUGAAGCCUCAGAUUCCUUUACUUAACAAUCGAAUCUAUGAUAACAAAUUUGAGUCUCAGUUUUAUAUGAUAUCGGAUGUGAAUAAGCGUGUGCAUGCUAAGGGUGAUGUUUAUCCAGAUUCUUCCAAACUUCCGAAGGGUGAAUAUACUGUACAGCUAUAUCUGAGGCAUGACAAUGUACAGUACCUAGAGAAGAUGAAGCAACUGGUGUUAUUCAUCGAAAGAAAAUUGGAGGAAAAGGUACACUGCUAUCACUGCUACUCUCUUUACAGAUCAAAAUUUUAUCAGUCUGAACUAAUCAAUAGUUGAGAAGCAGGCAUACAUCUCCUUUUAUUUGAUGCAUUGGUCCUUUCAGUUGUGUAGUUGCUAUCCUUCUUUACAUGUUGAGGAUUACAUGUUUAAACUCAUGAAGUUUCACUUGCUUUUGAAAGUUAUUGUGUUCACCUGCAGCAGUCAAGUAAGAAGACCAGCCAAAAUACAUCUUGACCUCCUAAUACUCUCUCAACACUCACCUUAACUUGGCCAAAGAAUGGUUGUAGAAAAGAAGUUUGGACUGAAUUAAGGGUUCAAGUGCUGAUUCCAACUAGUUUCGGAUUUAACGCUUGGUGAUGGCUAUUUAUUUCCUUCAUUUUCCAACAAUAGGAAAUUGACGAUCUCCUUGAUAAAGACAUUGUUCGGUUGAACUUGUAUUCUCAGCCUGAUGGCCCACUAACGGGUGAUGGUUCCUUCAACUCUUCAGAUCUAGUUCCAGGAGUGAAAGAAGCAUUUUAUGUGGGUCCUCCAGCGAAGGACAAGCUCCCAAAGAAUUCCCGUGAAGGAUCUGUAUUGUUUGGCCCAAUCUCAUAUGAAGGGGGAAAAGGUCUGCAGAAGAAUCCUGCUUCUUAUCAAAUAUCUUAUAUUGUGCCACCAAUUAAGCUUGACGAGGACAAAGGAAAAAGUUCGAGUGACACCAAGUCUGUCUCAGAAAGACUAGAAGAAGAGGUCCGUGAUGCUAAAAUAAAGAUUCUUUCUAGCUUGAAUCAAGGCACAGAUGAGGAACGUGCUGAAUGGAAAAAGUUAUCUCAGUCACUUAAGUCAGAGUACCCUAAAUACACUCCUUUGCUUGCUAAAAUACUGGAAGGCGUGCUUUCUCGGAGCAAUAUUGAGGAUAAAUUCCAUCAUUUCACAGAGAUAAUCAGUGCAGCAGACGAGGUUAUUGCUAGCAUCGAUAGAGAUGAAUUGGCAAAAUGUUGUGCCCUCAGAAGUGAUCCAGAAGACGAGGCUACAGAAAAACUGAAGAAGAAGAUGGAGACGACCCGUGACCAGUUAACUGAAGCACUCUACCAGAAGGGAUUGGCUUUGGCUGAGCUUGAAGCAUUGAAGGGUGAAAGCACUGUGGAUAAGGUAGAUAUGUUUGAAGAGAACUUCAAAGAGCUAAAGAAAUGGGUGGAUCUGAAGUCCUCUAAAUAUGGCAUACUUUCAGUUUUCCGUGAGAGGCAUCAUGGGAGACUUGGAACCGCACUUAAGGUUCUAAAUGACAUGAUACAAGAUGAUGGUAACCCACCCAAGAAGAAGUUUUAUGAACUAAAGCUCUCUUUGCUCGAUCAGAUAGGAUGGAGCCACUUGGUGGCAUAUGAGAAACAGUGGAUGCAAGUACGAUUUCCAUCAUCACUACCUCUUUUUUAGUUUUUGUUCAGUGAGCGCACAAAAUUUUAGUAGAAUAUGAGAGAAAGAGAAGAUGUGACGGAGUUCUGCAAAAAAAAAAAAAACACUAUUACUUGUGGCGCAGUGCAAUGUUGAUUAAGAUUCUUUCUUUCUUUUCAAUAAUCAUCUAGUUUGUUUUCUUCAGUCCUACUUAAAAGCAGGAUUGCAAGUAUAAACUAUGUAAUUUAAAAUCUAAAUGUUGUAUAAGAUUUGUUUCAUGUGAACUUUUGUUGUGUAUCAUCUGGGUGUUUAUGGUUUCCGUGGACAUUCAAACACAUCAUUCAGAAUACGGUUAUAUAAGGG